GACGAACGCUGGCGGCGUGCCUAAUACAUGCAAGUCGAGCGCAGGAAACUGACGGAACUCUUCGGAGGGAAGGCAGUGGAAUGAGCGGCGGACGGGUGAGUAACACGUAAGGAACCUGCCUCAAGGAUUGGGAUAACUCCGAGAAAUCGGAGCUAAUACCGGGUAGUUCAUCGGACCGCAUGGUCCGUUGAUGAAAGGCGCUCCGGCGUCACCUUGAGAUGGCCUUGCGGUGCAUUAGCUAGUUGGUGGGGUAACGGCCCACCAAGGCGACGAUGCAUAGCCGACCGGAGAGGGUGAUCGGCCACACUGGGACUGAGACACGGCCCAGACUCCUACGGGAGGCAGCAGUAGGGAAUCUUCCACAAUGGACGAAAGUCUGAUGGAGCAACGCCGCGUGAGUGAUGAAGGUUUUCUGAUCGUAAAACUCUGUUGUAAGGGAAGAACACGUACGAGAGGGAAUGCUCGUACCUUGACGGUACCUUACGAGAAAGCCACGGCUAACUACGUGCCAGCCGCCGCGGUAA
RNAcentral lists this ribosomal RNA (524 nucleotides) under uncultured bacterium. RNAcentral describes it as "partial 16S ribosomal RNA". It matches the Rfam family "Bacterial small subunit ribosomal RNA", at positions 28 to 523 of the family's 1533-position model. The record is from RNAcentral.